UGCAGUCGANGGCAGCACGGGAGCAAUCCUGGUGGCGAGUGGCGAACGGGUGAGUAAUAUAUCGGAACGUGCCCAGUCGUGGGGGAUAACGUAGCGAAAGCUACGCUAAUACCGCAUACGAUCUACGGAUGAAAGCGGGGGACUCGUAAGGGCCUCGCGCGAUUGGAGCGGCCGAUAUCAGAUUAGGUUGUUGGUGAGGUAAAAGCUCACCAAGCCUGCGAUCUGUAGCUGGUCUGAGAGGACGACCAGCCACACUGGAACUGAGACACGGUCCAGACUCCUACGGGAGGCAGCAGUGGGGAAUUUUGGACAAUGGACGCAAGUCUGAUCCAGCAAUGCCGCGUGCAGGACGAAGGCCUUCGGGUUGUAAACUGCUUUUGUACGGAACGAAACGGUCUGCUUUGAUACAGUGGGCUAAUGACGGUACCGUAAGAAUAAGCACCGGCUAACUACGUGCCAGCAGCCGCGGUAAUACGUAGGGUGCGAGCGUUAAUCGGAAUUACUGGGCGUAAAGCGUGCGCAGGCGGUUAUAUAAGACAGAUGUGAAAUCCCCGGGCUCAACCUGGGACCUGCAUUUGUGACUGUAUAGCUAGAGUACGGUAGAGGGGGAUGGAAUUCCGCGUGUAGCAGUGAAAUGCGUAGAUAUGCGGAGGAACACCGAUGGCGAANGCAAUCCCCUGGACCUGUACUGACGCUCAUGCACGAAAGCGUGGGGAGCAAACAGGAUUAGAUACCCUGGUAGUCCACGCCCUAAACGAUGUCAACUGGUUGUUGGGUCUUCACUGACUCAGUAACGAAGCUAACGCGUGAAGUUGACCGCCUGGGGAGUACGGCCGCANGGUUGAAACUCAAAGNAAUUGACGGGGACCCGCACAAGCGGUGGAUGAUGUGGUUUAAUUCGAUGCNNCGCGAAAAANCUUACCCNCCUUUG
RNAcentral lists this ribosomal RNA (931 nucleotides) under uncultured bacterium. Its description in RNAcentral is "bacterial SSU rRNA". It matches the Rfam family "Bacterial small subunit ribosomal RNA", at positions 56 to 983 of the family's 1533-position model. The record is from RNAcentral.